GAAGAGAGCUUGCUCUCUGAUUCAGCGGCGGACGGGUGAGUAAUGCCUAGGAAUCUGCCUGGUAGUGGGGGACAACGUUUCGAAAGGAACGCUAAUACCGCAUACGUCCUACGGGAGAAAGCAGGGGACCUUCGGGCCUUGCGCUAUCAGAUGAGCCUAGGUCGGAUUAGCUAGUUGGUGAGGUAACGGCUCACCAAGGCGACGAUCCGUAACUGGUCUGAGAGGAUGAUCAGUCACACUGGAACUGAGACACGGUCCAGACUCCUACGGGAGGCAGCAGUGGGGAAUAUUGGACAAUGGGCGAAAGCCUGAUCCAGCCAUGCCGCGUGUGUGAAGAAGGUCUUCGGAUUGUAAAGCACUUUAAGUUGGGAGGAAGGGCAUUAACCUAAUACGUUAGUGUUUUGACGUUACCGACAGAAUAAGCACCGGCUAACUUCGUGCCAGCAGCCGCGGUAAUACGAAGGGUGCAAGCGUUAAUCGGAAUUACUGGGCGUAAAGCGCGCGUAGGUGGUUUGUUAAGUUGAAUGUGAAAGCCCCGGGCUCAACCUGGGAACUGCAUCCAAAACUGGCAAGCUAGAGUAUGGCAGAGGGUGGUGGAAU
Molecule: ribosomal RNA, 600 nt
Filed under: Pseudomonas sp. 170(2013)
Lineage: Bacteria; Pseudomonadati; Pseudomonadota; Gammaproteobacteria; Pseudomonadales; Pseudomonadaceae
Description: bacterial SSU rRNA
Rfam family: Bacterial small subunit ribosomal RNA
Source: RNAcentral